UCCUAAUGCCCAUAUGCUCCUUUUUCCUCUGCACUCCAUCUCUCGGKGCKGGGGGKGGGGUGACACCUUCAACGUUAACGGCGUCGAGCGGCGGACGGGUGAGUAAUGCCUGGGAAAUUGCCCUGAUGUGGGGGAUAACCAUUGGAAACGAUGGCUAAUACCGCAUAAUAGCUUCGGCUCAGAGAGGGGGACCUUCGGGCCUCUCGCGUCAGGAUAUGCCCAGGUGGGAUUAGCUAGUUGGUGAGGUAAGGGCUCACCAAGGCGACGAUCCCUAGCUGGUCUGAGAGGAUGAUCAGCCACACUGGAACUGAGACACGGUCCAGACUCCUACGGGAGGCAGCAGUGGGGAAUAUUGCACAAUGGGCGCAAGCCUGAUGCAGCCAUGCCGCGUGUAUGAAGAAGGCCUUCGGGUUGUAAAGUACUUUCAGCAGUGAGGAAGGCGGAGUCGUUAAUAGCGGCCUCGUUUGACGUUAGCUGCAGAAGAAGCACCGGCUAACUCCGUGCCAGCAGCCGCGGUAAUACGGAGGGUGCGAGCGUUAAUCGGAAUUACUGGGCGUAAAGCGCAUGCAGGUGGUUUGUUAAGUCAGAUGUGAAAGCCCGGGGCUCAACCUCGGAAUUGCAUUUGAAACUGGCAGACUAGAGUACUGUAGAGGGGGGUAGAAUUUCAGGUGUAGCGGUGAAAUGCGUAGAGAUCUGAAGGAAUACCGGUGGCGAAGGCGGCCCCCUGGACAGAUACUGACACUCAGAUGCGAAAGCGUGGGGAGCAAACAGGAUUAGAUACCCUGGUAGUCCACGCCGUAAACGAUGUCUACUUGGAGGUUGUGGCCUUAAGCCGUGGCUUUCGGAGCUAACGCGUUAAGUAGACCGCCUGGGGAGUACGGUCGCAAGAUUAAAACUCAAAUGAAUUGACGGGGGCCCGCACAAGCGGUGGAGCAUGUKGUUUAAUUCGAUGCAACGCGAAGAACCUUACCUACUCUUGACGUCCAGAGAACUUUCCAAAGAUGGAUUGGUGCCUUCGGGAACUCUGAGAGAGGUGCUGCAUGGCUGUCGUCAGUUCGUGUAGUGAAAUGUUGGGUUAAGUCCCGCAACGAGCGCAACCCUUAUCCUUGUUGGCCAGCGAGAGAAGUCGGGAACUCCAGGGAGAGUGCCGGUGAUAGAGCGGAGGAAGGUGGGGAGGACGUCAAGUCAUCAUGGCCCUUACGAGUAGGGCUACACACGUGCUACAAUGGCGCAUACAGAGGGCGGCCAACUUGCGAAAGUGAGCGAAUCCCAAAAAGUGCGUCGUAGUCCGGAUUGGAGUCUGCAACUCGACUCCAUGAAGUCGGAAUCGCUAGCACCCCCACCACAGACCCGCCGCAAAACAAAACCGG
RNAcentral lists this ribosomal RNA (1370 nucleotides) under Vibrio hepatarius. RNAcentral's name for it is "bacterial SSU rRNA". It matches the Rfam family "Bacterial small subunit ribosomal RNA", at positions 79 to 1377 of the family's 1533-position model. The record is from RNAcentral. Lineage: Bacteria; Pseudomonadati; Pseudomonadota; Gammaproteobacteria; Vibrionales; Vibrionaceae.